Molecule: transfer RNA, 71 nt
Filed under: Candidatus Pacearchaeota archaeon
Lineage: Archaea; Nanobdellati
Description: tRNA-Gly
Rfam family: tRNA
About the family: Transfer RNA (tRNA) molecules are approximately 80 nucleotides in length. Their secondary structure includes four short double-helical elements and three loops (D, anti-codon, and T loops).
Source: RNAcentral
GCGCCAUUAGUUUAGUGGUAGAACGUGACAUUGCCAAUGUUAAGACGCGAGUUCGAUUCUCGCAUGGCGCA